GACGAACGCUGGCGGCGUGCUUAACACAUGCAAGUCGAACGGUGAAGCGCCUUCCUUUUUGGUGGGUGUGGAUGAGUGGCGAACGGGUGAGUAACACGUGAGUAACCUGCCCCCUUCUUCUGGAUAACCGCAUGAAAGUGUGGCUAAUACGGGAUAUUCUGGGUCUGUCGCAUGAUGGGUCUGGGAAAGAUAUUGUUUCGGUGGGGGAUGGGCUCGCGGCCUAUCAGCUUGUUGGUGGGGUGAUGGCCUACCAAGGCGGUGACGGGUAGCCGGCCUGGGAGGGUGGACGGUCACACUGGGACUGAGACACGGCCCAGCCUCGUACGGGAGGCAGCAGUGGGGAAUAUUGCACGAUGGGCGCAAGCCUGAUGCAGCGACGCCGCGUGAGGGAUGGAGGCCUUCGGGUUGUGAACCUCUUUCGCCAGUGAAGCAGGCCUGCCUCGUUUGUGGGUGGGUUGACGGUAGCUGGAUAAGAAGCGCCGGCUAACUACGUG
Molecule: ribosomal RNA, 494 nt
Filed under: uncultured bacterium
Lineage: Bacteria
Description: partial 16S ribosomal RNA
Rfam family: Bacterial small subunit ribosomal RNA
Source: RNAcentral